UGGGGAAUAUUGGACAAUGGGGGCAACCCUGAUCCAGCCAUGCCGCGUGCGUGAAGCAGGCCUUAGGGUUGUAAAGCGCUUUCAGCGGGGACGAUGAUGACGGUACCCGCAGAAGAAGCCCCGGCUAACUCCGUGCCAGCAGCCGCGGUAAUACGGAGGGGGCAAGCGUUGUUCGGAAUUACUGCGCGUAAAGGGCGCGUAGGCGGCAUAUCAAGUCAGAGGUGAAAGCCCGGGGCUCAACCUGGGAAUUGCCUUAGAAACUGAUAAGCUAGAGACCGGAAGAGGAUAGCGAAAUUCCCAGUGUAGAGGUGAAAUUCGUAGAUAUUCGGAGGAACACCAGUGGCGAAGGCGGCUCACUGGCUCGAUACUGACGCUGAGGUGCGAAAGUGUGGGGAGCAAACAGGAUUAGAUACCCCCGUAGUCC
This 424-nucleotide ribosomal RNA is filed under the name uncultured prokaryote. RNAcentral describes it as "bacterial SSU rRNA". It matches the Rfam family "Bacterial small subunit ribosomal RNA", at positions 355 to 796 of the family's 1533-position model. The record is from RNAcentral.